RNAcentral lists this ribosomal RNA (253 nucleotides) under uncultured bacterium. Its description in RNAcentral is "partial 16S ribosomal RNA". It matches the Rfam family "Bacterial small subunit ribosomal RNA", at positions 524 to 776 of the family's 1533-position model. The record is from RNAcentral.
UACGUAGGGUGCAAGCGUUAAUCGGAAUUACUGGGCGUAAAGCGUGCGCAGGCGGUUUUGUAAGUCUGACGUGAAAGCCCCGGGCUUAACCUGGGAAUUGCGUUGGAGACUGCAAGGCUUGAAUCUGGCAGAGGGGGGUAGAAUUCCACGUGUAGCAGUGAAAUGCGUAGAGAUGUGGAGGAACACCGAUGGCGAAGGCAGCCCCCUGGGUCAAGAUUGACGCUCAUGCACGAAAGCGUGGGGAGCAAGCAGG